GUAAGCCCUGAGGAGGCAGCGUUUUCUGGGCUUCUGUCUGGUUCUCUCUCUCCAGAAGGUUCUGCCGGUUCCCCCAGCUCUGGGUACCCGGCUCUGCAUCGCGUCGCCAUGAUGGGCCAUCGUCCAGUGCUCGUGCUCAAGACGGAGUUUCACCAUGUUGACCAGGCUGGUCUCCAACUGCUGAUGAGCUCAGGUGAUCCGCCCACCUCGGCCUCCCAAAGUGCUGAGAUUACAGGCGUGAGCCACCGCGCCCGGUCCCUUAUUUUUUUCUGAUGAGCACCACCUCCAUUGUCUUCCUUUGGCCAGAACACAAAGCGUGAAUCCGGAAGAAAAGUUCAAUCUGGAAACAUCAAUGCUGCCAAGACUAUUGCAGAUAUCAUCCGAACAUGUUUGGGACCCAAGUCCAUGAUGAAGAUGCUUUUGGACCCAAUGGGAGGCAUUGUGAUGACCAAUGAUGGCAAUGCCAUUCUUCGAGAGAUUCAAGUCCAGCAUCCAGCGGCCAAGUCCAUGAUCGAAAUUAGCCGGACCCAGGAUGAAGAGGUUGGAGAUGGGACCACAUCAGUAAUUAUUCUUGCAGGGGAAAUGCUGUCUGUAGCUGAGCACUUCCUGGAGCAGCAGAUGCACCCAACAGUGGUGAUCAGUGCUUACCGCAAGGCAUUGGAUGAUAUGAUCAGCACCCUAAAGAAAAUAAGUAUCCCAGUCGACAUCAGUGACAGUGAUAUGAUGCUGAACAUCAUCAACAGCUCUAUUACUACCAAAGCCAUCAGUCGGUGGUCAUCUUUGGCUUGCAACAUUGCCCUGGAUGCUGUCAAGAUGGUACAGUUUGAGGAGAAUGGUCGGAAAGAGAUUGACAUAAAAAAAUAUGCAAGAGUGGAAAAGAUACCUGGAGGCAUCAUUGAAGACUCCUGUGUCUUGCGUGGAGUCAUGAUUAACAAGGAUGUGACCCAUCCACGUAUGCGGCGCUAUAUCAAGAACCCUCGCAUUGUGCUGCUGGAUUCUUCUCUGGAAUACAAGAAAGGAGAAAGCCAGACUGACAUUGAGAUUACACGAGAGGAGGACUUCACCCGAAUUCUCCAGAUGGAGGAAGAGUACAUCCAGCAGCUCUGUGAGGACAUUAUCCAACUGAAGCCCGAUGUGGUCAUCACUGAAAAGGGCAUCUCAGAUUUAGCUCAGCACUACCUUAUGCGGGCCAAUAUCACAGCCAUCCGCAGAGUCCGGAAGACAGACAAUAAUCGCAUUGCUAGAGCCUGUGGGGCCCGGAUAGUCAGCCGACCAGAGGAACUGAGAGAAGAUGAUGUUGGAACAGGAGCAGGCCUGUUGGAAAUCAAGAAAAUUGGAGAUGAAUACUUUACUUUCAUCACUGACUGCAAAGACCCCAAGGCCUGCACCAUUCUCCUCCGGGGGGCUAGCAAAGAGAUUCUCUCGGAAGUAGAACGCAACCUCCAGGAUGCCAUGCAAGUGUGUCGCAAUGUUCUCCUGGACCCUCAGCUGGUGCCAGGGGGUGGGGCCUCCGAGAUGGCUGUGGCCCAUGCCUUGACAGAAAAAUCCAAGGCCAUGACUGGUGUGGAACAAUGGCCAUACAGGGCUGUUGCCCAGGCCCUAGAGGUCAUUCCUCGUACCCUGAUCCAGAACUGUGGGGCCAGCACCAUCCGUCUACUUACCUCCCUUCGGGCCAAGCACACCCAGGAGAACUGUGAGACCUGGGGUGUAAAUGGUGAGACGGGUACUUUGGUGGACAUGAAGGAACUGGGCAUAUGGGAGCCAUUGGCUGUGAAGCUGCAGACUUAUAAGACAGCAGUGGAGACGGCAGUUCUGCUACUGCGAAUUGAUGACAUCGUUUCAGGCCACAAAAAGAAAGGCGAUGACCAGAGCCGGCAAGGCGGGGCUCCUGAUGCUGGCCAGGAGUGAGUGCUAGGCAAGGCUACUUCAAUGCACAGAACCAGCAGAGUCUCCCCUUUUCCUGAGCCAGAGUGCCAGGAACACUGUGGACGUCUUUGUUCAGAAGGGAUCAGGUUGGGGGGCAGCCCCCAGUCCCUUUCUGUCCCAGCUCAGUUUUCCAAAAGACACUGACAUGUAAUUCUUCUCUAUUGUAAGGUUUCCAUUUAGUUUGCUUCCGAUGAUUAAAUCUAAGUCAUUUGA
RNA transcript from Homo sapiens (human), 2139 nucleotides. It is a transcript of the gene named chaperonin containing TCP1 subunit 3, with no coding region annotated. The transcript is spliced from 15 exons. The record is from RefSeq and is marked reviewed. NCBI's taxonomy places the organism in Eukaryota, Metazoa, Chordata, Mammalia, Primates, Hominidae.